RNAcentral lists this ribosomal RNA (319 nucleotides) under Rhipicephalus sanguineus (brown dog tick). RNAcentral describes it as "partial 16S ribosomal RNA". The record is from RNAcentral. Lineage: Eukaryota; Metazoa; Arthropoda; Arachnida; Ixodida; Ixodidae.
CUGCUCAAUGAUUUUUUAAAUUGCUGUGGUAUUUUGACUAUACAAAGGUAUUGAAAUAAGAUUUUAAUUGAAUGCUAAGAGAAUGGAAUUUCAGAAAAAAACUUUUUUCAAGUUAAAAAUUGAAAUUUUUUUAAUUUGUGCAGAAACAAUUAUUAAUAUUAAGGACAAGAAGACCCUAUGAAUUUAUAAAUUUUAUUUAAUAUGUAACUACUAUUAAAAAAAUUUUAGCUGGGGCGGCGGAAAAAUAUUUAAAACUUUUUUAAAAUAAAAUGACCCAUUAUUAAUGAUUAUAUGUUAAAUACUCUAGGGAUAACAGCGU